Molecule: ribosomal RNA, 253 nt
Filed under: uncultured bacterium
Lineage: Bacteria
Description: partial 16S ribosomal RNA
Rfam family: Bacterial small subunit ribosomal RNA
Source: RNAcentral
UACGAAGGGGGCUAGCGUUGCUCGGAAUCACUGGGCGUAAAGGGUGCGUAGGCGGGUCUUUAAGUCAGGGGGGAAAUCCUGGAGCUCAACUCCAGAACUGCCUUUGAUACUGAGGAUCUUGAGUACGGGAGAGGUGAGUGGAACUGCGAGUGUAGAGGUGAAAUUCGUAGAUAUUCGCAAGAACACCAGUGGCGAAGGCGGCUCACUGGCCCGGUACUGACGCUGAGGUGCGAAAGCGUGGGGAGCAAACAGG